Molecule: ribosomal RNA, 468 nt
Filed under: uncultured bacterium
Lineage: Bacteria
Description: partial 16S ribosomal RNA
Rfam family: Bacterial small subunit ribosomal RNA
Source: RNAcentral
GACGAACGCUGGCGGCGUGCUUAACACAUGCAAGUCGAACGGAAAGGCCCUGCGUUUGUGGGGUGCUCGAGUGGCGAACGGGUGAGUAACACGUGAGUAAACUGCCCUUGACUUUAGGAUAACUUCAGGAAACUGGGGCUAAUACCGGAUAGGAGCUCCUGCUGCAUGGGGGGGGUUGGAAAGAUUCGGCGGUUGGGGAUGGACUCGCGGCUUAUCAGCUUGUUGGUGGGGUAGUGGCUUACCAAGGCUUUGACGGGUAGCCGGCCUGAGAGCGUGACCGGCCACAUUGGGACUGAGAUACGGCCCAGACUCCUACGGGAGGCAGCAGUGGGGAAUAUUGCACAAUGGGCGGAAGCCUGAUGCAGCAACGCCGCGUGCGGGAUGACGGCCUUCGGGUUGUAAACCGCUUUCGCCUGUGACGAAGCGUGAGUGACGGUAAUGGGUAAAGAAGCACCGGCUAACUACGUG